Anolis carolinensis (green anole) is the source of this 925-nucleotide long non-coding RNA. RefSeq lists it as uncharacterized. NCBI's taxonomy places the organism in Eukaryota, Metazoa, Chordata, Lepidosauria, Squamata, Anolidae. The record is from RefSeq and is a predicted model, not a curated record. The transcript is spliced from 5 exons.
GGGUGAAAAGGGAGGAGGGAGGGGAGAAGGCGGGGAAAGAGGGAGGGAGGAAGAGGAGGCGAGCCACGGGUGUUGGUGGGCUCAUUCCUGCCAGGCGCCUCUCUUUCCCCUCUUGGAGUCCCAUCUCGCCUCUGGACAGGACCCGGGAAGGAGCCCACCUCCAGACUCCUGGCACGGCUCCCCUCCAGUCAAGUGAUUGUAAAUAUAGCCCGGGAUGUUGUUUACAUGAACCAUCCAGGAGGAGGAGCGUAGGAAAGAGGAGGAGGAGGAGGAAGAAGAGGAGGAAGGCUGGAGGAGUCACCAAGGCUGGGGCACUGCAGACUUACUGAACCAGAGAAGUCAGCCAUAGCAGAGCACUUGAUGAACCAACCUGGACCUUCUCCCACCCUGGACCUUUCACAGCGUAUCACAGAAUGGCCCUGGAGGACCUAGCAAUUUCCUAGAGAGGCCGUUUCCCUCCAGCGUGGGUUCAACACCUCAGCGAUGCUAUUGAAGAGCCAAGCAUCGGUAUUCUCCAUGAUCAUCUUUCUUUAAAUGUACAUACAACUAUGGAGAGGUAAAGCCAUCGAUUCCUGCAGUUGUCUGUAUCCAGUAAAUAGAAGCAUUGUUAUUCCAAGGAUGUGAGUAGGCAAUGACUGACAGGCUGCCCUGGCUCAGUUAUCACUGUGCUGAUGCUGUCUAUACUAAAGGUACAGUACUGUGAUAACUGAAGGAUGGCAGCCAUCUUGCCUUCACAGAAACUCAACAAGUGGAGAGCAAAGAAGACAUUAUUCUGUUCUGGAAUCUUAGGUUAUGCUUCAUUUGUAAAAAUAAAAUGCAAAUAUGCUGGACAGGCCCUGUAAUAUACUAAGCUCACCGUCUUUUUUUUUUUUUUUUGCGCUUUAAGGGCAAUGUUAGAUUCAAAAUAAAUGGUGAAAAAAAGAGA